UACGAAGGGGCGAGCGUUGUUCGGAAUUAUGCUGGGCGUAAAGGGCGCGCAGGCGGCUCUGAAAGUCAGAUGUGAAAGCCCCGGGCUUAAACCUGGGAAUUGCAUUUGAUACUUCAUGGAGGCUUGAGUGUGGGAGAGGAGAGUGGAAUUCCCAGUGUACGAGGUGAAAUUCGUAGAUAUUGGGAAGAACACCGGUGGCGAAGGCGGCUCUCUGGACCACAACUGACGCUGAGGCGCGAAAGCGUGGGGAGCAACAGG
Molecule: ribosomal RNA, 258 nt
Filed under: uncultured bacterium
Lineage: Bacteria
Description: partial 16S ribosomal RNA
Rfam family: Bacterial small subunit ribosomal RNA
Source: RNAcentral